GCUAUAUCAUGUUGAAACACCGGUUCUCGUACGAUCACCGAAGUUAAGCAACGUCGAACCUGGUCAGUACCAAGAUGGGUGAACGCUUGGGAACACCAGAUCUUGUAA
Molecule: non-coding RNA, 108 nt
Organism: Acanthosepion pharaonis
Lineage: Eukaryota; Metazoa; Mollusca; Cephalopoda; Sepiida; Sepiidae
Source: the annotation of a GenBank genome assembly